UAACAUGAUCUAAUGCUGGAAGUUGAAGCUAGACAAAUUCAGACUGGAAAUAAGCAUACUUUUUAACAGUGAGAGUAAUUAACCAUUGGAACAAUUUACCAAGGAUUGUGGUGGAUUCUCCAGCACUGACAAUUUUUAAAUCAAGAUUGAAUGUUUAUCUCAAAAAUCUGCUCUAGCAAUAAUUUUGGGGGUGUUCUAUGGCUUCUGUGGUGAUCAGACUAGAUGAUCAGAAUGGUCCCUUC
This is a long non-coding RNA of Dermochelys coriacea (leatherback sea turtle), 242 nucleotides long. RefSeq lists it as uncharacterized. The record is from RefSeq and is a predicted model, not a curated record. Lineage: Eukaryota; Metazoa; Chordata; Testudines; Dermochelyidae. The transcript is spliced from 3 exons.